This 408-nucleotide ribosomal RNA is filed under the name Theileria velifera. Its description in RNAcentral is "SSU rRNA". It matches the Rfam family "Eukaryotic small subunit ribosomal RNA", at positions 475 to 919 of the family's 1831-position model. The record is from RNAcentral. Lineage: Eukaryota; Apicomplexa; Aconoidasida; Piroplasmida; Theileriidae.
AAAUAACAAUACGGGGCUUAAUGUCUUGUAAUUGGAAUGAUGGGAAUUUAAACCUCUUCCAGAGUAUCAAUUGGAGGGCAAGUCUGGUGCCAGCAGCCGCGGUAAUUCCAGCUCCAAUAGCGUAUAUUAAAAUUGUUGCAGUUAAAAAGCUCGUAGUUGAAUUUCUGCUACAUUGCCUAUUCUCCUUUACGAGUUUGGGUCUUUUGUGGCUUAUCUGGGUUCGCUUGCGUUCCCGGUGUUUUACUUUGAGAAAAUUAGAGUGCUCAAAGCAGGCUUUUGCCUUGAAUAGUUUAGCAUGGAAUAAUAAAGUAGGACUUUGGUUCUAUUUUGUUGGUUUUAGGUACCAAAGUAAUGGUUAAUAAGAACAGUUGGCGGGCAUCUCGUAUUUCACUGUCAGACGUGAACUUC